GGUUAUUUAGCUCCAUAUCCAGGAAAACUUGGUCCUGCAGAUUGUUGCAGUGGUUGCCCUCAUUGAGAAUUGCUGCUAUCUCUGUUCCCAUUAGAUUAUUUUCUUCUGCUAGCUGUUUUUCCUUCUGUUGGAGAGCAGUUACCGCCUCGAGCAUCAACUGUGUCUUUCUCAGUCUGAUCUGUCUUAAUAUGGAAUCUAGUUGUUCCUCUAG
Molecule: unclassified non-coding RNA, 211 nt
Filed under: Hevea brasiliensis (rubber tree)
Lineage: Eukaryota; Viridiplantae; Streptophyta; Magnoliopsida; Malpighiales; Euphorbiaceae
Source: RNAcentral